This 253-nucleotide ribosomal RNA is filed under the name uncultured bacterium. RNAcentral's name for it is "partial 16S ribosomal RNA". It matches the Rfam family "Bacterial small subunit ribosomal RNA", at positions 524 to 776 of the family's 1533-position model. The record is from RNAcentral.
UACGAAGGGGGCUAGCGUUGCUCGGAAUCACUGGGCGUAAAGCGCACGUAGGCGGGUUAUUAAGUCAGGGGUGAAAUCCCGGAGCUCAACUCCGGAACUGCCUUUGAUACUGGUAAUCUAGAGAUCGGAAGAGGUUAGUGGAAUUCCCAGUGUAGAGGUGAAAUUCGUAGAUAUUGGGAAGAACACCAGUGGCGAAGGCGGCUAACUGGUCCGAUACUGACGCUGAGGUGCGAAAGCGUGGGGAGCAAACAGG